This is a long non-coding RNA of Quercus robur (English oak), 4299 nucleotides long. RefSeq lists it as uncharacterized. The transcript is spliced from 15 exons. Lineage: Eukaryota; Viridiplantae; Streptophyta; Magnoliopsida; Fagales; Fagaceae. The record is from RefSeq and is a predicted model, not a curated record.
CACUUCAACACCAGCCGUUCUCUCUUUUCAUCUGUCUUUUUUUUAUUUUUCUCAUUUUCUUUCUUUGCCCUAAUUUUCUUCUCCAACAAUGGGCAAAAACGUAGUCUAUGAUGAAGAAGAUGGAAGCUCUUUAUUCGAAGCUCUACGAUAAGUACACGAAACUCAAGUUGAGCCGAGGAAGCAGAUCUCAUGCUCUUUGCAACUGUUGAAUAAGACCGAUAACUAUGUGGCUUUCAAGGUGAAGACUACAAAUCCAAAGAAGUACUGUGUGAGGCCCAAUACUGGAAUUGUGAUGCCCAGGUCUUCCUGUGAUGUUAUAGGUAACAUCACGGGCUUAUGCAGCACGACCAGAGCCUCGAGAUAACUCAUCCAAGUCGAGGAGAAUUCAAUGAGUUUCGGUCUCUGAUGAUAAUUCUUCUCGCUCUCCAUCUGAUUCUACUCAUAAGCUCUUACAGCUUGAUAACUUGAAAUACAAUAGGAGAAAUUAGGAACAAUGCUGGACAAGAUGACUUGCAUUCAGAAUAUGGUUACCAAAGAAUAAUGGCCCGCCAUUAUGCUAUUAGAGAUGGCUAUCCAGAGCAGUUUCUGUGCUUUGUGUGUUGCAGGUUUCACAAUAGAAGCUAGCAAAAAUUCGAAAAGGUAUCCUUGCAAAAUCUGCGCUACUAUCAAAAGAUAGAUGACGUAUUUUUGAUCCUCCUCACCGUGCUGCUGCCGAUGAAGCCCAGACCUCCUAACAGUAAGGGGGUGUUUGGUGGAGGAGUUUGAGUAAUGUUGUUCGGGUGUUUUUGAUAUACGUGAACAAAAGGGCCUCUCUCUCAAUCUCACUCGGACCUCUCUUCAUUACCAUUUGAUUUUGUUUCAGCGCCUUCCUUAUGUCUCUACAAAGAAUAUGUAGUUCUCCUUUUCGCCAUGCAUGCUGUAGCCAUGGAAGCCUUCAUUAGUUUUUUAGUUCUAGAAACGAGAGACUUAAGUGAAGAAGAAAUGAAUGUGAAAGCAUGGGAAACACACCGACUUUGGAAGAAGUGCAUCUGAUGAAGCCUUGCAAUAUAUGCUAGUUUUUAUUUUUCUGUCUCUUCUGUAUAAACAGUUUGGUUCUUCUAAUAUGUAAGAGUAAGACUCUCUUUUAUGUAAACAUUAUUUUCUUAAUUCACAAGUUUGGUAUUAAAAAAACAGUAUUUUCUUAAUUCACAAGUUCGUGUUACAAGAUGAAUGAGCCCAAAAACACGGAAAAAAUCUUUUAUCAGGAAAAAUACAUGAUUGUUGGACGAUAUGGCACAAGUUGGAGACCAUAAAUUUAGGAAACAACAAUUUCACCGACAACAUUCCAACAUCCAUUGGACCGUUGACUCUUCUCAAGUCUUUGCACCUACACAACAACAAACUCUCAAACAAAUUGCCAUCAUCUUUGAAAAAUUGUAUAGAAUUGGUUAUUAUUGAUCUUAGUGAAAAUGAGUUUGUUGGAUCCAUCCCUUCAUGGAUAUGACAUAGGCUUUUAAGCUUGACGACUCUCAACCUUUGCUCAAAUAAUUUUCAUGGUCACAUUCUGAAAGGACUUUGUGCUAUAACUUCAGAUUUUUGACCUUUACCAUAAAAAAUUAUUUGGAAGCAUACCAAGAUGCGUUAAAAAUUUUAGUGCCAUGGCCACAAAAAGUAAUUCAUAUCUCAAUAUGGAUUUUUACCCCCCAAUUUAUUCGUAUGGUGAAUCUUUCCCUCUUGAAAAUGCAUUGCUUGUGAUAAAGGGAAAAAUUCUUGAGUGUAGUACCAUUCUUCAACUAGUAAAAAGUAUUGACUUUUCCAAGAACAGCUUAUCAGGAGAGAUUCUAGAAGAAGUGACCAAUCUCUAAGAAUUACAGUCAUUGAAUUUGUCAUAUAAUCUCUAGAUUGGAAGUAUUCCUGUGAAUAUAGGUACUAUGGGUUCAUUGGAAUCUAUUGAUUUCUCUAUGAACCAACUUAUAGGUCAAAUUCCCUCAAGCAUGUCAAGUUUGACAUUUUAAAAUCAUUCGAACUUGUCAAACAACAAUUUGAUUGGGAAAAUCCCUUUAGGCACCCUGUUACAGAGUUUUGAGGCAUCCAGUUUUAUUGGAAACAAACUCUGUGGACCACCACUUACUGAUAAUUGUACUACAAAUGGUGUAAAACCCAACAAUGAAAACAUAGGGAGUAAAGGUACUCUUGGACUUGAAGUGGAUUGGUUCUAUGUGAGCAUUGCAAUUGGCUUUGUGGUUGGUUUUUUGGGUGUAUGCUGUCCUUUACUAUUGAACAAGCAAUGGAGAAUUAUCUACUUUCAAUUCCUAGAUCACAUGGGGGAUAGUUUUAGGGGUGUUGUUUCAUUGUUAGUAAAUGUUGUAAGAUUCUUCAUAUUUUAGUGCAAAUGUCAUGUGAUAAUGUUAAUCAAUGUUUUGAUGGUGUCUGUAACAUGUGUUAGUUAAUACACUCCACUAGCAUAUAUGAAUAUGGUAUUUCUUCCUAUGGACAACAAAGGCAAUCCAAUUCGUAGUUUCAUUUAAUCCCUGUAGAUUAAUAUUGUAAAAUCAAACUUUAGUUUGUACAAGCAAUGGAUUCAAUAAAAGUAGUAUACCAUACCUACUUAUCAAAAAACAAAAGUAGUAUGCUAUACCUUGAAAUUACUCCUAGGCUUUGUUUCUGUUACUUUAAACAAAUGUUUAUCUUGAGUUUCAGCAGUGCUUUUGUUGAGUUCAUGGGUUUAACACAUUUUUGGAAACUUAAUUGGGAUUGGCCAUAUGCAAGUUUAACACAUUUUUGGUUCCCUAUUUAGGUGGACAAUUUCUCAAACAUCAUAUUGAAAAUGAACAUGAAAUUUGCAACUUGCAAGUCAAGCUGAAUAGUGUCUAGUGGAAUACUUUCUCGCAAUUUCAAGAAAGAUUGUAGUACAUGAAACAUUAUUUGUGAGCAAACCAUCAAUAGCUGGUUUUGGCUAAAAACCUGAUUAUCCAUACGCAUAUGUUGUUGCCUGCUAUUAAACAUGUAAAGGUUCUUUUGAACACAAUUCUUCCUUAUUGCUUCAUCAUAUCUGUAUCUUUCAUAAUUGUUGUGUUUCUCUUGGUAUAGUUUUCUUUGUAAUACCCUACAAUUCCAACCCAUGCAAAGGUGCUCCAAUCUAACUUGCAAUGAGAAAGAAAAAUGUGCCCUUCUAAGUUUCAAAGUUCUUACAAGUCCUUUAAAUAGGCUCUUGUCUUUGUCUGUUCAAGAUUGCUGAAGAGGGAUUGGAAUCUGAGUGACACGUAAGUGGAAAUCGAGUUGAGCUCCACCUAUAAAUUAAUAUUCUGCUGAUGAAUGAUGAAUAUAGAUUGCCGUUAUGUUGAAAGAUUAAUCCUUUUUUAGUGGAGCUAAAACUACUAAAUAAAUUGAGUUAAUUAUUUUAUUGGUGAGGGCAUUCCAAGCUAUUUUGGUUACUCUGGAGAGAAUUAGACAUCUUGACCUCUCCUUUGCAGGAUUUGGAGUAUUCAUUUCUCAGGAGCAUAGAACUCUAUCACAACUUUACUUUCUUAAUCCUACAGGAAAAUGAUCUUUAUUUGGAUGGUCUGGUAUUGGUUUAUUGUCUUUCUUACCUGCAUUAUUUUUAUCAAUCGGUGUCAACUGUCAUAGGGAAAAAGAAAAAGGCUUCAGGAUGCGCUGAGACAAGGGCUAAUUAAAACUUAAAGUGGACUGGGCAUUGUUAGGAAGUCAAUUCAACUGUAUGGUCCUUUUCAACUCGAGCUUAUAUCAAUGCUGUCUAAAGAAUGCAACAAAACAUUUCAUCUCAUUUCAGCUUCGUCUUGAAAUAAUUUUAAACAUGUCGUCGUGGCACUUAUUACUAGAUGAAAGGAUUAGAGGAUUCAGAAAUUACACAAGGAUUAGAGGAUUAAGAAAUUACACAACGAUUAAAGGGCCUACCUUUUCUCAUUGCUGCCUAAUCACACAUUCUUUGCUAAAAAUGUACCCUUCUCUCCAAGCCAAGGAUGACAUGUGGAAUCAAAUCAGAAUAUGGUGUUAUCAAAAAAAAAAAAAAAUAUAUAUAUAUAUAUAUAUUUUGCCGCACCUUUCUUCUUCUGUUUUUCUGUGUUUUGGGAUCAACUUAUAUUCUAUAGGCCAAUUAGCUUCCCACAUCUAUCUGGUAUACAAUCCAGAUUGUAAAUAUCCUGCAUUAUUAGUUAUCCUUUUAUCAUUUUCUGUCUUUGUUAAAAUUAUGUGGCUGUUAUAGACCUUUCUUCUCGGAUUUAUGGAUAUUUUGCCAAUAUUCUGGUAAAUAUUUGGAAUUUAUAAAAUUAAAUGUGAUUGAUAAUGAAUCUUAAAUUAACU